CAUUGGAUCUAAACAAGGCCCAUAUUAAUUUUCGUACGAGCCGAACAGCCGAAAAAAAUGCAAGGACGAAAAUAACCUUCAACUUCAAGCGUGGGGCUAGGGCGGAUUAGGGUUUCUUGUCAGCUAUAAAUAUCAGAGAGAGGCCCUUAAUAUUUUCCGUCUUAAAACUUGGAUUAGAAACUCUGGUUCAUUCCAGAGGAGCGGCUGAGCAGGGUGAGACAAGCAGAUCCGGAGAGCUUGACACAGGAUGAGAGCUAAGUGGAAGAAGAAGCGAAUGAGGAGAUUGAAGAGGAAGCGCAGAAAGAUGAGGCAGAGAUCCAAGUAGGUGUGCGGACUGGGACAAGAUGGAGUUCUCUCCUGAUAUCAAACAGCUUUUGCUGCUUGAUAGCUUGCUGAAGGGUGUUUGACAGGGAAAGCUUCGCUUGUUUUCUGUCUUUUAGUUUUAGUUUUAGCAAAGUUUUAUUGAGACUACUGUUCUUCAAGUUGCUGGAUUAUAUGUUUUGAGUUGUAUUGGAUUUGAUGUUUAGGUAUGCUUCUAAAUUGAUGAUGAAACUUCUUAAAAUGUUUUAUGCGCUAUGAUGUGAUGCCUAAAUAGAAUUUUCUGUUCUAUUA
Long non-coding RNA from Hevea brasiliensis (rubber tree), 612 nucleotides. RefSeq lists it as uncharacterized. The transcript has 2 exons. NCBI's taxonomy places the organism in Eukaryota, Viridiplantae, Streptophyta, Magnoliopsida, Malpighiales, Euphorbiaceae. The record is from RefSeq and is a predicted model, not a curated record.